CACAUGACUUAUUACACGUUUAACAUGAAUGAUAGGUUUAUAUCAAUGUGCUCGUUAUUGCUCAUUCACAGGGAUCUGGAAUCUACGACUAAUAAUAAACACAGACAGUUAAAUUCACUGGAACAAGACAGGAUAAAAUCCUGAUGAAUAAUCCUGAUAAAAUUUGCUCCCAGACUUUUGAAUUCAAAUUUUCGGUGUUGGUCUGCCCUCAUGUUUAAUUUUCAGUCUCUUCUCGUAAGUGUGAGCACCAGAAGACUAAGCGAGCUGCUAGCAGAAGAAGGAAGUGACUGCUAGCUAGAUUAAUAAACAACAAAUUUCAGAAAUGAAAGACAAAAAGCCAGAACAGCUUGUAGUUACACUGGAAAAUGUAUGUAUUGUGAGGAAUUAGCCCGGGGAAGGGCGGCGCACAGACCCACAGGAGACCAAAGGAUGGUGGCAGACGGUGCUUUAUUGUGGCUAGGGUGAGGUGAACGUGUUAUAAAUGGAAGAGUGCGGGGGUUUGUGAAGGCGCGACGGCCGGCGGAGUCGACUCGUGGCGGAGGCGGGAUUCCCGAGGCGGGGCGGGGGUUUUCCCGGGCCGGCGUCCUCCGUGUGUGCGACUCUCACUAUCCGGCGGUCUCGUCCGCGCUUACGCCUCCUGGAGAGAGAGAGAGAGAGAGAGAGAGAGAGAGAGAGAGAGAGAAAUUAGCGUGGGGCGUGAGGUUACCGUCGUGAUCGGAGGUUGCGAAUCGCUGCAAACACGCACGGAGUCCGUUUUGACGCCACGAUAUUCUCUUCCCCUUCCCGGCCGGAAGCGCGCCCUUUUAUCCUCCUCCGUCGGCGCCUGAGUGGUGGGACUUCCCCGUUGGAUCCGCCAAUCGCUGGCCGGAGUCGCGUCAGUCCCGCCCUGCCGCGGCGGUCCUUCCGGCUGGCGGAAUGUUCGGCAGGAAGCUGCCCACGUCGUGCCGGUGCGGCAGUCGGAGAAGGAGCGUUUUCCCUCUUGUGUGCGCCGGAUCUCUGCCCGUCGCGACAAACAACCUCCAGGAUCCUAAGCAGUCCGGUUCAAGGUGACGUCACUGAGAAGCUCCAUGCUCCGUUUACUAUCACAGAGCAACAGUGCAGAGGAAACAAAAGGAAAGAAAAGUGUAGGAAUGAGAUCACAAAUUAAUGAGUGUUAAUGUGUGUGUUAAUGUGUGUGUGUGUGUGUGUGUUAAUGUGUGUGUUAAUGUGUGUGUGUGUGUGUGUGUGUUAAUGUGUGUGUUAAUGUCUGUGUUAAUGUGUGUGUUAAUGUGUGUGUGUGUGUGUGUGUUAAUGUGUGUGUUAAUGUGUGUGUGUGUGUGUUAAUGUGUGUGUUAAUGUGUGUGUGUGUGU
Molecule: long non-coding RNA, 1350 nt
Organism: Ictalurus punctatus (channel catfish)
Lineage: Eukaryota; Metazoa; Chordata; Actinopteri; Siluriformes; Ictaluridae
Source: Ensembl